CCCACACCCAUGUGUGUAGGACUCCAAAGGAUCACAUUUAAAUUUGGCACAGAUCUCUAGAAAAGUUAUCAUAUGGGUGUGGAACUUGACUUUUCUAGAGAUCUGUGCCAAAUUUAUUGGUAAUCUUUUGGGGUCCUACACACAUGGAUGUGGA
This 154-nucleotide microRNA precursor is filed under the name Amborella trichopoda. Its description in RNAcentral is "MIR8565 microRNA precursor family". It matches the Rfam family "MIR8565 microRNA precursor family". Lineage: Eukaryota; Viridiplantae; Streptophyta; Magnoliopsida; Amborellales; Amborellaceae. The record is from Rfam by way of RNAcentral.